UACAGAGGGCUCAAGCGUUGUUCGGAUUCAUUGGGCGUAAAGGGUGCGUAGGUGGCGUCGUAAGUCAGGUGUGAAAUCUCGGGGCUUAACUCCGAAACUGCAUUUGAUACUGCGGUGCUUGAGGACUGGAGAGGAGACUGGAAUUUACGGUGUAGCGGUGAAAUGCGUAGAUAUCGUAAGGAAGACCAGUGGCGAAGGCGGGUCUCUGGACAGUUCCUGACGCUGAGGCACGAAGGCCAGGGGAGCAAACGGG
RNAcentral lists this ribosomal RNA (253 nucleotides) under uncultured bacterium. RNAcentral describes it as "partial 16S ribosomal RNA". It matches the Rfam family "Bacterial small subunit ribosomal RNA", at positions 524 to 776 of the family's 1533-position model. The record is from RNAcentral.